This 79-nucleotide non-coding RNA is filed under the name Paenibacillus ferrarius. RNAcentral describes it as "ZTP sequence". It matches the Rfam family "ZMP/ZTP riboswitch aptamer (pfl RNA motif)". Rfam says of the family: Previously known as pfl RNA. ZMP is also known as AICAR. Lineage: Bacteria; Bacillati; Bacillota; Bacilli; Caryophanales; Paenibacillaceae. The record is from Rfam by way of RNAcentral.
GAACCGAUGUGUAACUGGCGUAAACAUGGGGUACCAUGAGGGAGCACAUUGUGAACAGCCGUACGCCUGGGCAAAGUAU